RNAcentral lists this transfer RNA (73 nucleotides) under Camelus ferus (Wild Bactrian camel). It matches the Rfam family "tRNA". From Rfam's summary of the family: Transfer RNA (tRNA) molecules are approximately 80 nucleotides in length. Their secondary structure includes four short double-helical elements and three loops (D, anti-codon, and T loops). Lineage: Eukaryota; Metazoa; Chordata; Mammalia; Artiodactyla; Camelidae. The record is from Rfam by way of RNAcentral.
GGGAGGAUAGCUCAACUGGUAAAGUGCAUGCUUACUAUGCACAAGGUCCUGGGUUCAAUUCCCAGCACCCCCU